RNAcentral lists this ribosomal RNA (244 nucleotides) under uncultured bacterium. RNAcentral describes it as "partial 16S ribosomal RNA". It matches the Rfam family "Bacterial small subunit ribosomal RNA", at positions 89 to 334 of the family's 1533-position model. The record is from RNAcentral.
UGGCGACCGGCGCACGGGUGAGUAACACGUAUCCAACCUGCCGAUGACUCGGGGAUAGCCUUUCGAAAGAAAGAUUAAUACCCGAUGGCAUAGUUCUUCCGCAUGGUAGAACUAUUAAAGAAUUUCAGUCAUCGAUGGGGAUGCGUUCCAUUAGGUUGUUGGCGGGGUAACGGCCCACCAAGCCUUCGAUGGAUAGGGGUUCUGAGAGGAAGGUCCCCCACAUUGGAACUGAGACACGGUCCAA